RNAcentral lists this ribosomal RNA (350 nucleotides) under uncultured bacterium. RNAcentral describes it as "bacterial SSU rRNA". It matches the Rfam family "Bacterial small subunit ribosomal RNA", at positions 355 to 722 of the family's 1533-position model. The record is from RNAcentral.
UGAGGAAUAUUGCACAAUGGGGGGAACCCUGAUGCAGCAACGCCGCGUGGAGGAUGACGCAUUUCGGUGUGUAAACUCCUUUUAUAUGUCAAGAAAAUGACGGUAGCAUAUGAAUAAGCACCGGCUAACUCCGUGCCAGCAGCCGCGGUAAUACGGAGGGUGCAAGCGUUACUCGGAAUCACUGGGCGUAAAGGACGCGUAGGCUGUUUAGCAAGUCAGAUGUGAAAUCCAAUGGCUCAACCAUUGAACUGCAUUUGAAACUGCUAGACUAGAGUAUGGGAGGGGGAGAUGGAAUUAGUGGUGUAGGGGUAAAAUCCGUAGAUAUCACUAGGAAUACCUAAAGCGAAGGC